This 118-nucleotide non-coding RNA is filed under the name Eubacterium limosum. RNAcentral's name for it is "MoCo sequence". It matches the Rfam family "Molybdenum/Tungsten riboswitch aptamer (Moco RNA motif)". RNAcentral also lists the same sequence under 1 other name. Lineage: Bacteria; Bacillati; Bacillota; Clostridia; Eubacteriales; Eubacteriaceae. The record is from RNAcentral.
AAAGAUUUAUCUAUCCGAAUUUUUUAUCCUAAAGUCAAUCCAUGGAUUCAAAAUCGUCAGAGUGCAGCGGGAAACGGCUGUGCUUUCCAUUGUGAGAAGGAUAGAUGAUAAACGUGCG